UACGUAGGGGGCUAGCGUUGAUCGGAUUUACUGGGCGUAAAGCGCACGUAGGCGGUUCGUUAAGUCGGGGGUGAAAUCCUGGAGCUCAACUCCAGAACUGCCUUCGAUACUGGCGAUCUUGAGUCCGGAAGAGGUGAGUGGAACUCCUAGUGUAGAGGUGGAAUUCGUAGAUAUUAGGAAGAACACCAGUGGCGAAGGCGGCUCACUGGGCCGGUACUGACGCUGAGGUACGAAAGCGUGGGGAGCAAACAGG
RNAcentral lists this ribosomal RNA (253 nucleotides) under uncultured bacterium. RNAcentral's name for it is "partial 16S ribosomal RNA". It matches the Rfam family "Bacterial small subunit ribosomal RNA", at positions 524 to 776 of the family's 1533-position model. The record is from RNAcentral.